GUGCCAGCCGCCGCGGUAAUACGGAGGAUGCGAGCGUUAUCCGGAAUCAUUGGGUUUAAAGGGUGCGUAGGCGGCCUUUCAAGCCCGGGGUGAAAAUCUGGGGCCCAACCCCAGACCUGCCUCGGGAACUGGCUGGCUGGAGUACGCUUGCCGCGGGAGGAAUGAGUGGUGUAGCGGUGAAAUGCAUACAUAUCACUCAGAACACCGAUUGCGAAGGCAUCCCGCGAAGGCGCGACUGACGCUGAGGCACGAAAGCGUGGGGAUCGAACAGGAUUAGAUACCCUGGUAGUCCACGCAUAAACGAUGAUAGCUAGCCGUUGGCCCGUUAAAGUGGUCAGUGGCCGAGCGAAAGCGAUAAGCUAUCCACCUGGGGAGUACGGCCGCAAGGCUGAAACUCAAAGGAAUUGACGGGGGCCCGCACAAGCGGAGGAACAUGUGGUUUAAUUCGAUGAUACGCGAGGAACCUUACCCGGGCUCGAACGGCAGAUGAAGGAAUCAGAGAUGGUUUCGCCCUUCGGGGCAUCUGUCGAGGUGCUGCAUGGUUGUCGUCAGCUCGUGCCGUGAGGUGUCGGCUUAAGUGCCAUAACGAGCGCAACCCUUGCGUCCAGUUGCCAGCGGGUGAAGCCGGGGACUCUGGACGGACUGCCACCGCAAGGUGUGAGGAGGGGGGGGAUGACGUCAAAUCAGCACGGCCCUUACGUCCGGGGCGACACACGUGUUACAAUGGUGGCUACAGAGGGGUGCUACCCAGCGAUGGGGAGCUGAUCCGUUAAAAGCCGCCUCAGUUCGGAUCGGAGCCUGCAACCCGGCUCCGUGAAGCUGGAUUCGCUAGUAAUCGCGCAUCAGCCAUGGCGCGGUGAAUACGUUCCCGGGCCUUGUACACACCGCCCGU
This 892-nucleotide ribosomal RNA is filed under the name uncultured rumen bacterium. RNAcentral describes it as "bacterial SSU rRNA". It matches the Rfam family "Bacterial small subunit ribosomal RNA", at positions 505 to 1397 of the family's 1533-position model. The record is from RNAcentral.